GCGGAAGGCCCCUUCGGGGGUACUCGAGCGGCGAACGGGUGAGUAACACGUGAGCAACCUGCCCCUGACUCUGGGAUAAGCCCGGGAAACUGGGUCUAAUACCGGAUGUGACCAGCCUCCGCAUGGAGUGCUGGUGGAAAGUUUUUCGGUUGGGGAUGGGCUCGCGGCCUAUCAGCUUGUUGGUGGGGUGAUGGCCUACCAAGGCGACGACGGGUAACCGGCCUGAGAGGGCGACCGGUCACACUGGGACUGAGACACGGCCCAGACUCCUACGGGAGGCAGCAGUGGGGAAUAUUGCGCAAUGGGCGGAAGCCUGACGCAGCGACGCCGCGUGAGGGAUGACGGCCUUCGGGUUGUAAACCUCUUUCAGCAGGGACGAAGCUAACGUGACGGUACCUGCAGAAGAAGCGCCGGCUAACUACGUGCCAGCAGC
RNAcentral lists this ribosomal RNA (433 nucleotides) under Actinomadura sp. YN-5-4. Its description in RNAcentral is "bacterial SSU rRNA". It matches the Rfam family "Bacterial small subunit ribosomal RNA", at positions 66 to 515 of the family's 1533-position model. The record is from RNAcentral. Lineage: Bacteria; Bacillati; Actinomycetota; Actinomycetes; Streptosporangiales; Thermomonosporaceae.